RNAcentral lists this ribosomal RNA (155 nucleotides) under Protoglossum violaceum. Its description in RNAcentral is "5.8S ribosomal RNA". It matches the Rfam family "5.8S ribosomal RNA". Rfam says of the family: 5.8S ribosomal RNA (5.8S rRNA) is a component of the large subunit of the eukaryotic ribosome. It is transcribed by RNA polymerase I as part of the 45S precursor that also contains 18S and 28S rRNA. Lineage: Eukaryota; Fungi; Basidiomycota; Agaricomycetes; Agaricales; Cortinariaceae. The record is from RNAcentral.
AACUUUCAGCAACGGAUCUCUUGGCUCUCGCAUCGAUGAAGAACGCAGCGAAAUGCGAUAAGUAAUGUGAAUUGCAGAAUUCAGUGAAUCAUCGAAUCUUUGAACGCACCUUGCACUCCUUGGUAUUCCGAGGAGCAUGCCUGUUUGAGUGUCAU